RNAcentral lists this ribosomal RNA (412 nucleotides) under uncultured eukaryote. RNAcentral's name for it is "SSU rRNA". It matches the Rfam family "Eukaryotic small subunit ribosomal RNA", at positions 567 to 981 of the family's 1831-position model. The record is from RNAcentral.
CCAGCAGCCGCGGUAAUUCCAGCUCCAAUAGCGUAUAUUUAAGUUGCUGCAGUUAAAAAGCUCGUAGUUGGAUUUCGGGUGGGGCCUGCCGGUCCGCCGUUUCGGUGUGCACUGGCCGGGCCCACCUUGCUGCCGGGGACGUGUUCCUGGGCUUCACUGUCCAGGACACGGAGUCGGCGAGGUUACUUUGAGUAAAUUAGAGUGUUCAAAGCAGGCCUCGUCGCCUGAAUAAUGGUGCAUGGAAUAAUGGAAUAGGACCUCGGUUCUAUUUUGCUGGUUUUCGGAGCUGGAGGUAAUGAUUAAGAGGGACUGACGGGGGCAUUCGUAUUACGGUGUUAGAGGUGAAAUUCUUGGAUCGCCGUAAGACGAACUACUGCGAAAGCAUUUGCCAAGAAUGUUUUCAUUAAUCAAG